AGUACCCCAGCCCAGGUCAUGUGAUGUAACCUACAGCGGCAGCCCGAGGUGCGGCGUCUUAGCCGGUUUUGUGCAGGCGGGAGGGCGAAGGAUGGGCGGGGCUUCUGUUCCCAAAUUUGCCCCUAAGCGGGGUUGACAGGGCGCAGCCGGGAGAGGCUGAGCUGGGGACAGAGAUGUAGUGGAAACGUUCAUGGAUGUCCAGGUCCAGGGCGCGCUGUCACCGGCCGCUGGCCAGAGCCCUGGGAAUGCGAAGAUGCUCCUUCUCCCCUGCCUUGGAAAGCUUCACAGGCUACCAGAGAAGCAAGGCGUUUGUGCUGUGGUAUCUGUGGCCCUCGCUCAGGUUCAGUGUAAAAUCCCCAUCAUCCAGACCUGCUAACCUUUAAGUUUAGUGGCACCACUGUACUUCGUCCAUAGAAAUCUCCCGAAUCGGCCUCUCUCAGUUGGUACAACUCCAACACGUCUUUGUCCUUUCUUGCUUUUAUUGCCUGUGUAUUGCUGAUAAUCGGAGUCACUCCAAAAUCAUUAUCUUUUUUUUUUUUUUGUUUUUCCUUCAAACUCCAUUCUCUUUUAAAGGCUUCAAGCAGCAUCUGUAACAUAACAAACAUGAAAUGUCUAAUAAGUGGAGAGAGGCUGUAUCAUGAAGUAAGUGGUGUUUAUUAAGUCCCUUCUAUACCUGCAUUGGAAUUUCAGGUACUGUGGGUUGAAACUGUUUAUGCUUUCAAUUCAAAAUUCCUGUUAUAUGAAUUUGCUUUUGGGAAAGAAUCAGAUACAUGACUAAAGAGAGAUUUGCCAGAAUGAGUAUUGUAAGGUUAUAUGUUAGAUUUUAUUUUUUGCACUUGGGAUUGAACUCCAGUCCUUGUGCUUGUGAGGCAGGCAGC
Molecule: long non-coding RNA, 878 nt
Filed under: Fukomys damarensis (Damara mole-rat)
Lineage: Eukaryota; Metazoa; Chordata; Mammalia; Rodentia; Bathyergidae
Description: lncRNA (ENSFDAG00000032111.1)
Source: RNAcentral